Long non-coding RNA from Hypanus sabinus (Atlantic stingray), 697 nucleotides. RefSeq lists it as uncharacterized. NCBI's taxonomy places the organism in Eukaryota, Metazoa, Chordata, Chondrichthyes, Myliobatiformes, Dasyatidae. The record is from RefSeq and is a predicted model, not a curated record. The transcript has 4 exons.
GAAGGUGAGGGACGUUUUUACUGGAUAGCAGUACUGUCUGGGUUUAGAGACUCCACAGAAGACCCGAGUGACGGACGGGAGUCGAGUUGGACCUUCCGGUCGGGAAUCACGCUUUUUUGAAGGCAAUUGGUUGGAGUCGAAAUCGCAGACGCAAGAUAAGCAAGACUCCACAGAAGACCCGAGUGACGGAGGGGAGUCGAGUUGGACCUUCCGGUCGGGAAUCACGCUUUUUUGAAGGCAAUUGGUUGGAGUCGAAAUCGCAGACGCAAGAUAAGCACACAUGAGGCUGACGGAACGCUUGGAACAACUGAUCGCAGAUUCACAAGGGAAAUGAGAUAUCCAGCAAUUUACUACAUAGCAACCGUUUACUAUCCUGUACUUGCAGUGCUUGGCAUCCCCGUUAACUUAACGGCGAUUCUGAUCCUGUCCCGUGGAAACUGUGGACUUUCCAGAUGUAUCACUCGCUAUCUAACUGGAAUGGCUGUGGCCGAUUUAACAGUGGUUAUCAUUGCCAUUCUCGUGGAACAGAUAAAUAAUCUCUAUUUUUACGCCGGUUUUUUGCUCAUAACUCCGGUUUGUGCUUUAACGCUUGUCUUUAAAAUUGUAAGCAAGGACUGUUCCGUUUGGCUCACCGUUGCUUUCACGUUCGAUCGUUACGUUGCAAUUUGCUGUAAAAAUCUGCAGAAAAAAUAUUGUU